GCCAGAGGGGAUGGUGUAUGUCUUUAAUCUUUGCUUCAAGGAGAGGCUGAGGUUGGUGGAUCUUUGGGCUACAGUGAGGCUAAAGCUGCUCAGUUACCCACGUUAUUUAACACAAAUAUGGUGAACUACUGGGAGCAGGGGCCCACCAGGCUUCCUGAGAAGGUGAACUUGUCUGGGUCAGAAAUGGAUCAGGUCAAAGCUUCUGUGUAGAUCAGUAAUGAGGUCAAGCCUGUGAGUGGAUCCUAUACUUACAGCCUGGAUAAUAUAGGGAGACUAUGUCUCA
RNAcentral lists this non-coding RNA (283 nucleotides) under Phascolarctos cinereus (koala). The record is from RNAcentral. Lineage: Eukaryota; Metazoa; Chordata; Mammalia; Diprotodontia; Phascolarctidae.